This 453-nucleotide ribosomal RNA is filed under the name uncultured bacterium. RNAcentral describes it as "bacterial SSU rRNA". It matches the Rfam family "Bacterial small subunit ribosomal RNA", at positions 1052 to 1504 of the family's 1533-position model. The record is from RNAcentral.
UCGUCAGCUCGUGUCGUGAGAUGUUGGGUUAAGUCCCGCAACGAGCGCAACCCUUGUCAUUAGUUGCCAUCAUUAAGUUGGGCACUCUAAUGAGACUGCCGGUGACAAACCGGAGGAAGGUGGGGAUGACGUCAAGUCAUCAUGCCCCUUAUGACCUGGGCUACACACGUGCUACAAUGGACGGUACAACGAGAAGCGAACCUGCGAAGGCAAGCGGAUCUCUUAAAGCCGUUCUCAGUUCGGACUGUAGGCUGCAACUCGCCUACACGAAGCUGGAAUCGCUAGUAAUCGCGGAUCAGCACGCCGCGGUGAAUACGUUCCCGGGCCUUGUACACACCGCCCGUCACGCCAUGAGAGUCUGUAACACCCAAAGCCGGUGGGAUAACCUUUAUAGGAGUCAGCCGUCUAAGGUAGGACAGAUGAUUAGGGUGAAGUCGUAACAAGGUAGCCGUA